RNAcentral lists this ribosomal RNA (539 nucleotides) under uncultured fungus. Its description in RNAcentral is "eukaryotic LSU rRNA". The stretch from base 192 to 345 matches the Rfam family "5.8S ribosomal RNA". The record is from RNAcentral. Lineage: Eukaryota; Fungi.
AAGUCGUAACAAGGUUUCCGUAGGUGAACCUGCGGAAGGAUCAUUACCGUAGGGGCUUAACCCCCCUUCGAGAUAGCACCCUUGACUUUUCAAGCACCUUCUGUUUCCUCGGCGGGCUCGCCCGCCAGUGGACAACAACCAAAACCUUUUCUGUAUUAGCAGUACUCUGAUAAAACAACACAAAAAGUUAAAACUUUCAACAACGGAUCUCUUGGUUCUGGCAUCGAUGAAGAACGCAGCGAAAUGCGAUAAGUAGUGUGAAUUGCAGAAUUCAGUGAAUCAUCGAAUCUUUGAACGCACAUUGCGCCCUUUGGUAUUCCUUAGGGCAUGCCUGUUCGAGCGUCAUUUCAAACCUCAAGCCCCGCUUGGUGUUGGGCGUUUGUCCCCCUAUGGGGACUCGCCUCAAAUGCAUUGGCAGCCGGUACGUUGGCUUCGAGCGCAGCAGAAAAGCGCCUGGCGUCUGACGGUACCUUGGCUCUCCAGGAAGCCUCCACCCCAAUUUUGACCUCGGAUCAGGUAGGGAUACCCGCUGAACUUAA